This 40-nucleotide ribosomal RNA is filed under the name Butyriboletus brunneus. Its description in RNAcentral is "partial 28S ribosomal RNA". The record is from RNAcentral. Lineage: Eukaryota; Fungi; Basidiomycota; Agaricomycetes; Boletales; Boletaceae.
CUAGUCGGUUGUGAGGCUGACGAACGUUGAGCGCGCUGAG